AGGAUAGUAGUUAAUAAUAACAUUUAAGUUGCAUCUAAAAAGUAUUAGAAAUUAUUCUAAUCUAUCUUA
Molecule: transfer RNA, 69 nt
Filed under: Sorineuchora formosana
Lineage: Eukaryota; Metazoa; Arthropoda; Insecta; Blattodea; Pseudophyllodromiidae
Description: tRNA-Ala
Source: RNAcentral